GAGAAAUUAUUUUAAAUAAAAAUAUGAAUCUGUCAGAUUUAAGUUACUAUAAAGUAUUUCUUU
RNAcentral lists this transfer RNA (63 nucleotides) under Chonosia crassipennis. Its description in RNAcentral is "tRNA-Asp". The record is from RNAcentral. Lineage: Eukaryota; Metazoa; Arthropoda; Insecta; Hemiptera; Cicadidae.